GAUAGAGGCCUACCAUGGUGGUAACGGGUAACGGGGUGUUAGGGCACGACACCGGAGAGGGAGCCUGAGAAACGGCUACCACAUCCAAGGAUGGCAGCAGGCGCGCAAAUUACCCAAUCCCGACACGGGGAGGUAGUGACAAUAAAUAACAAUACGGGGUUCUUUAGGAUCUCGUAAUUGGAAUGAGUACAAUUUAAAUCUCUUAACGAGGAACAAUUGGAGGGCAAGUCUGGUGCCAGCAGCCGCGGUAAUUCCAGCUCCAAUAGCGUAUAUUAAAGUUGUUGCAGUUAAAAAGCUCGUAGUUGAAUUUCGGGGUUAGUAGGUUGGUCAUGCCUCUGGUAUGUACUGGUCUCACUGAUUCCUCCUUCCUUAUGAACCGUAAUGCCAUUAAUUUGGUGUUGCGGGGAAUUUGGACUGUUACUUUGAAAAAAUUAGAGUGUUUAAAGCAAGCUAACGCUUGAAUACAUUAGCAUGGAAUAAUGAAAUAGGACGUUCGAUCUUAUUUUGUUGGUUUCUAGGAUUGACGUAAUGAUUAAUAGGGAUAGUUGGGGGCAUUAGUAUUCAAUUGUCAGAGGUGAAAUUCUUGGAUUUAUUGAAGACUAACUACUGCGAAAGCAUUUGCCAAGGAUGUUUUCAUUAAUCAAGAACGAAAGUUAGGGGAUCGAAGACGAUCAGAUACCGUCGUAGUCUUAACCAUAAACUAUGCCGACUAGGGAUCGGAUG
Molecule: ribosomal RNA, 723 nt
Filed under: uncultured fungus
Lineage: Eukaryota; Fungi
Description: SSU rRNA
Rfam family: Eukaryotic small subunit ribosomal RNA
Source: RNAcentral